CAUUACCGAAUUGUCAACAGGAGUUGUUGCUGGUCCUCAAAUGGGGGCAUGUGCACGCUCUGUUCACACAUCCACUCACACCCUGUGCACCCUCUGUAGUUCUAUGGUUGGGGGACCCGUCCUCCUGCUAUGGUUCUGCGUUUUUACACACACAUUGUAACAAAGUCUUAUGGAAUGCAUGUCGCGUUUAACGCAAUACAAUACAACUUUCAGCAACGGAUCUCUUGGCUCUCGCAUCGAUGAAGAACGCAGCGAAAUGCGAUAAGUAAUGUGAAUUGCAGAAUUCAGUGAAUCAUCGAAUCUUUGAACGCACCUUGCGCCCUUUGGCCAUUCCGAAGGGCAUGCCUGUUUGAGUAUCAUGAACACCUCAACUCUUCAUGGUUUUCCAUGAUGAGUUUGGACUUUGGGGGUUUUGCUGGCCCUACGGUCAGCUCCUCUGAAAUAAAUCAGCUUGCCAGUGUUUGGUGGGUAUCAUAGGUGUGAUAACUAUCUACGCUUGUGGUUCUUCCACCAGGUAACCUUCAGCAGUGGAGGUUCACUGGAGCUCACAGACGUCUCUCCUCAGCGAGGACAGCCCUUUGAAUGUUUGAUCUCAAAUCAGGUAGGACUACCCGCUGAACUUAAGCAUAUCAAU
This 634-nucleotide ribosomal RNA is filed under the name uncultured Tomentella. RNAcentral describes it as "eukaryotic LSU rRNA". The stretch from base 205 to 359 matches the Rfam family "5.8S ribosomal RNA". Lineage: Eukaryota; Fungi; Basidiomycota; Agaricomycetes; Thelephorales; Thelephoraceae. The record is from RNAcentral.